GACGAACGCUGGCGGCGGGCUUAACACAUGCAAGUCGAACGGAAAGGCCCUGCUUUUGUGGGGUGCUCGAGUGGCGAACGGGUGAGUAACACGUGAAUAACCUGCCCUUGACUUUGGUAUAACUUCAGGAAACUGGGGCUAAUACCGGAUAGGAGCUCCCGCUGCGUUGUGGGGGUGGGAAAGUUGCGGCGGUUGGGGAUGGACUCGCGGCUUAUCAGCUUGUUGGUGGGGUAGGUGCUUACCAAGGCUUUGACGGGUAGCCGGCCUGAGAGGGUGACCGGCCACAUUGGGCCUGCGAUACGGCCCAGACUCCUACGGGAGGCAGCAGUGGGGAAUAUUGCACAAUGGGCGGAAGCCUGAGGCAGCAACGCCGGGUGCGGGAUGCCGGCCUUCGGGUUGUAAACAGCUUCCGCCUGUGACGACGCGUGAGUGACGGUAAUGGGUAAAGAAGCACCGGCUAACUACGUG
Molecule: ribosomal RNA, 468 nt
Filed under: uncultured bacterium
Lineage: Bacteria
Description: partial 16S ribosomal RNA
Rfam family: Bacterial small subunit ribosomal RNA
Source: RNAcentral